UACGAAGGGGGCUAGCGUUGUUCGGAAUUACUGGGCGUAAAGCGCGCGCAGGCGGUCUUCCAAGUCAGUGGUGAAAGCCUGGAGCUCAACUCCAGAACUGCCAUUGAAACUGUUAGACUUGAGUACGAGAGAGGUGAGUGGAAUUCCCAGUGUAGAGGUGAAAUUCGUAGAUAUUCGGAAGAACACCAGUGGCGAAGGCGACUUACUGGACACAUAUUGACGCUGAGGUGCGAAAGCGUGGGGAGCAAACAGG
Molecule: ribosomal RNA, 253 nt
Filed under: uncultured bacterium
Lineage: Bacteria
Description: partial 16S ribosomal RNA
Rfam family: Bacterial small subunit ribosomal RNA
Source: RNAcentral